UAGGGAAUCUUCGGCAAUGGACGAAAGUCUGACCGAGCAACGCCGCGUGAGUGAAGAAGGUUUUCGGAUCGUAAAACUCUGUUGUUAGAGAAGAACGUUGCAUAGAGUGGAAAAUUAUGCAAGUGACGGUAUCUAACCAGAAAGGGACGGCUAACUACGUGCCAGCAGCCGCGGUAAUACGUAGGUCCCGAGCGUUGUCCGGAUUUAUUGGGCGUAAAGCGAGCGCAGGUGGUUUAAUAAGUCUGAUGUAAAAGGCAGUGGCUCAACCAUUGUGUGCAUUGGAAACUGUUAGACUUGAGUGCAGUAGAGGAGAGUGGAAUUCCAUGUGUAGCGGUGAAAUGCGUAGAUAUAUGGAGGAACACCGGUGGCGAAAGCGGCUCUCUGGACUGUCACUGACACUGAGGCUCGAAAGCGUGGGUAGCAAACAGGAUUAGAUAGCCCUGGUAGUCCACGCCGUAAACGGUGAGUGCUA
This 472-nucleotide ribosomal RNA is filed under the name uncultured bacterium. Its description in RNAcentral is "partial 16S ribosomal RNA". It matches the Rfam family "Bacterial small subunit ribosomal RNA", at positions 355 to 818 of the family's 1533-position model. The record is from RNAcentral.